Long non-coding RNA from Saccostrea echinata, 369 nucleotides. RefSeq lists it as uncharacterized. The record is from RefSeq and is a predicted model, not a curated record. The transcript has 2 exons. NCBI's taxonomy places the organism in Eukaryota, Metazoa, Mollusca, Bivalvia, Ostreida, Ostreidae.
UUUGUGGUGAUUAUGAGAAUGGAAUACCAUGUGACAUUCGCAGUAUAUACAUUGGACCUAAGGUACAAUGUCAGACUGGAAAAGAUUUUUGCAUGACGGACAUAUUUCAUGACGUAUCCGGAAAUGAAAGCGUUUUCAAAAGGUGCGUGAACGAGACAGUUUGCAGAACUCAGUGGUUAUCUCAGACCUCCGACCAGGACCACUGCAUUCAGUUCGGUAAAGUCCUGGUUAGUGGCGCUUACUCCUGUCACUUUUGCUGUACAUCUGAUGAAUGCAAUCAAGGACUACUACCAGAUUCUACAACCCUCUAUACCAGGCGAUGAGAUCUUUAUCAUUCUUUUUCCUUUAAUAAAUCCUUUAUAAAUUCAA